This 464-nucleotide ribosomal RNA is filed under the name uncultured bacterium. RNAcentral's name for it is "partial 16S ribosomal RNA". It matches the Rfam family "Bacterial small subunit ribosomal RNA", at positions 28 to 507 of the family's 1533-position model. The record is from RNAcentral.
GACGAACGCUGGCGGCGUGCUUAACACAUGCAAGUCGAACGGAAAGGCCCUGCUUGCAGGGUACUCGAGUGGCGAACGGGUGAGUAACACGUGGGUGAUCUGCCCUGCACUUCGGGAUACGCCUGGGAAACUGGGUCUAAUACCGGAUAGGAGCCAUUUUUAGUGUGAUGGUUGGAAAGUUUUUUCGGUGUAGGAUGAGCUCGCGGCCUAUCAGCUUGUUGGUGGGGUAAUGGCCUACCAAGGCGGCGACGGGUAGCCGGCCUGAGAGGGUGGACGGCCACAUUGGGACUGAGAUACGGCCCAGACUCCUACGGGGGGCAGCAGGGGGGAAUAUUGCACAAUGGGCGCGAGCCUGAUGCAGCGACGCCGCGUGGGGGAUGACGGCCUUCGGGGUGUAAACUCCUUUCGCUAGGGACGAAGCUUUUGUGACGGUACCUAGAGAAGAAGCACCGGCUAACUACGUG